Molecule: ribosomal RNA, 482 nt
Filed under: uncultured bacterium
Lineage: Bacteria
Description: bacterial SSU rRNA
Rfam family: Bacterial small subunit ribosomal RNA
Source: RNAcentral
AUUGAACGCUGGCGGCAUGCCUUACACAUGCAAGUCGAACGGCAGCGGGCCUUCGGGUGCCGGCGAGUGGCGAACGGGUGAGUAAAGCAUCGGAACGUACCGUGUAGUGGGGAUAACGUAGCGAAAGUUACGCUAAUACCGCAUACGCACUGAGGUGGAAAGCAGGGGGAUCGCAAGACCUUGCGCUAUACGAGCGGCCGAUGUCAGAUUAGCUAGUUGGUAGGGUAAAGGCCUACCAAGGCGACGAUCUGUAGCGGGUCUGAGAGGAUGAUCCGCCACACUGGGACUGAGACACGGCCCAGACUCCUACGGGAGGCAGCAGUGGGGAACUUUGGACAAUGGGCGAAAGCCUGAUCCAGCCAUGCCGCGUGAGUGAAGAAGGCCUUCGGGUUGUAAAGCUCUUUCGGCUGGGAAGAAAUCGCACAGGCUAAUACUCUAUGUGGAUGACGGUACCAGCACAAGAAGCACCGGCUAACUACGUG